UUUUUCUUUUUUUUCUUUUCGUCUUCUUUUUUUUUUUUUUCCCGAGGAUGCCCCAAACCCCCGUGUUCACAUAGACUGAGCAAUUCUCAACACACAGUGUAAUAAUGAGCUUUAAUUCUCUAUCCAAGCAGAACUUGAGCAAUAAUAAUAAGCACAUCAGAACAAUUUGUUUACUGUGGCAUUGCACAGGCUGCAGGGUCCAAGACUAGCUACAAUAAACGGUAAAAACCAAAGGAAAAGCCCUAGAACAGGAAAAAUAUUGCGAUAGAAACGUGGUUUUGGCUUUCAAGGAAAGAGGCACUUGACUAGCAUUGUAGCUCGGAUAUUUUGCCCUUUUCCAAGGUGAAGUCCUGCCACGUGGAGAGAAGCGCUGGAAACCUGCCUCCAGUUUUCUCUCACUUCAGGAAGGUAGUGCUUCUCAGGAAGUUUUCUUGAACAAGGCUGGGCAAUGUGGAUUGGAUGAAGAGAUUCUGCAAACCCCCAGUGACAACAGGAGAGGAGUAGUGGAUCCAGUGCCAGUUUGAACUAGCAAUGGGUUGGGCUCGUGGAUGGUCAGCCUUGCAGCCGGCCGCUGCUAAAUUGUCAUUCCUGUCCUGGAUAGCAGAACUGGUAUUACCCGGGUCCAGUCUCAGAUGACCCAAAGCAAAGAGGAGCAGGGAGGUGGGAUGGCAUUCAGGAGGACCAUGGUGGCCUGGAAGGAGAGAUGUGCAAUGGUAGCGUGAUGCAACCAGGGAUGGGAUGAAGCACAGCCAGGUGGGUGCCAUGCCCCCAUUUGGAUGUUUUGCUUCAGGAGCAACAGAGAGGCUUGAAGAGCCUUCAGAGCUGAGUGCUGAAAAUUACGAAAGACCUGGAAAAUACAAUUUAUGAGGAACAGAUCAAUGACCUGGAGUUGCUAAGCUUAAAGAGGAGAAGGUGCUGAGGAGGAAGAGACUAUGACAACCUUCAAGUACAUUAAAGAUGGUGAUAAAGGGGGAA
Molecule: long non-coding RNA, 975 nt
Organism: Corvus hawaiiensis (hawaiian crow)
Lineage: Eukaryota; Metazoa; Chordata; Aves; Passeriformes; Corvidae
Exons: 2
Source: RefSeq, a predicted model, not a curated record